AGCGAACGCUGGCGGCAGGCUUAACACAUGCAAGUCGAGCGGGCAUCCUUGUGGUGUCAGCGGCAGACGGGUGAGUAACGCGUGGGAACGUGCCCUUCGGUUCGGAAUAACUCAGGGAAACUUGAGCUAAUACCGGAUACGUGCGAGAGCAGAAAGGUUUAUCUGCCGAAGGAUCGGCCCGCGUCUGAUUAGCUAGUUGGUGAGGUUAUGGCUCACCAAGGCGACGAUCAGUAGCUGGUCUGAGAGGAUGAUCAGCCACGCUGGGACUGAGACACGGCCCAGACUCCUACGGGAGGCAGCAGUGGGGAAUAUUGGACAAUGGGGGCAACCCUGAUCCAGCCAUGCCGCGUGAGUGAUGACGGCCUUAGGGUUGUAAAGCUCUUUUCUCCGGGACGAUAAUGACGGUACCGGAGGAAUAAGCCCCGGCUAACUUCGUG
RNAcentral lists this ribosomal RNA (437 nucleotides) under uncultured bacterium. Its description in RNAcentral is "partial 16S ribosomal RNA". It matches the Rfam family "Bacterial small subunit ribosomal RNA", at positions 29 to 507 of the family's 1533-position model. The record is from RNAcentral.